UACGGAGGGUGCAAACGUUGCUCGGAAUCAUUGGGCGUAAAGGGCGCGUAGGUGGUUCUGUAUGUCUACCGUGAAAGCGUACGGCUCAACCGUAUUUUGUCGGUGGAAACUGCAGGACUUGAGGCUGGGAGGGGCUGGUGGAAUUCCCUGUGUAGCGGUGAAAUGCGUAGAGAUGGGGGAGAACACUCGUGGCGAAGGCGGCCAGCUAGACCAGUUCUGACACUGAGGCGCGACAGCGUGGGGAGCAAACAGG
This 253-nucleotide ribosomal RNA is filed under the name uncultured bacterium. Its description in RNAcentral is "partial 16S ribosomal RNA". It matches the Rfam family "Bacterial small subunit ribosomal RNA", at positions 524 to 776 of the family's 1533-position model. The record is from RNAcentral.